UGGGCGGCAGCCUACACAUGCAGUCGAGCGGUAGAGAGAAGCUUGCUUCUCUUGAGAGCGGCGGACGGGUGAGUAAUGCCUAGGAAUCUGCCUGGUAGUGGGGGAUAACGUUCGGAAACGGACGCUAAUACCGCAUACGUCCUACGGGAGAAAGCAGGGGACCUUCGGGCCUUGCGCUAUCAGAUGAGCCUAGGUCGGAUUAGCUAGUUGGUGAGGUAAUGGCUCACCAAGGCGACGAUCCGUAACUGGUCUGAGAGGAUGAUCAGUCACACUGGAACUGAGACACGGUCCAGACUCCUACGGGAGGCAGCAGUGGGGAAUAUUGGACAAUGGGCGAAAGCCUGAUCCAGCCAUGCCGCGUGUGUGAAGAAGGUCUUCGGAUUGUAAAGCACUUUAAGUUGGGAGGAAGGGUUGUAGAUUAAUACUCUGCAAUUUUGACGUUACCGACAGAAUAAGCACCGGCUAACUCUGUGCCAGCAGCCGCGGUAAUACAGAGGGUGCAAGCGUUAAUCGGAAUUACUGGGCGUAAAGCGCGCGUAGGUGGUUUGUUAAGUUGGAUGUGAAAUCCCCGGGCUCAACCUGGGAACUGCAUUCAAAACUGACUGACUAGAGUAUGGUAGAGGGUGGUGGAAUUUCCUGUGUAGCGGUGAAAUGCGUAGAUAUAGGAAGGAACACCAGUGGCGAAGGCGACCACCUGGACUAAUACUGACACUGAGGUGCGAAAGCGUGGGGAGCAAACAGGAUUAGAUACCCUGGUAGUCCACGCCGUAAACGAUGUCAACUAGCCGUUGGAAGCCUUGAGCUUUUAGUGGCGCAGCUAACGCAUUAAGUUGACCGCCUGGGGAGUACGGCCGCAAGGUUAAAACUCAAAUGAAUUGACGGGGGCCCGCACAAGCGGUGGAGCAUGUGGUUUAAUUCGAAGCAACGCGAAGAAUCUUACCAGGCCUUGACAUCCAAUGAACUUUCUAGAGAUAGAUUGGUGCCCUUCGGGAACAUUGAGACAGGUGCUGCAUGGCUGUCGUCAGCUCGUGUC
RNAcentral lists this ribosomal RNA (1033 nucleotides) under Pseudomonas sp. BTN8. RNAcentral describes it as "bacterial SSU rRNA". It matches the Rfam family "Bacterial small subunit ribosomal RNA", at positions 37 to 1066 of the family's 1533-position model. The record is from RNAcentral. Lineage: Bacteria; Pseudomonadati; Pseudomonadota; Gammaproteobacteria; Pseudomonadales; Pseudomonadaceae.